AACGGCAGCAUGAUCUAGCUUGCUAGAUUGAUGGCGAGUGGCGAACGGGUGAGUAAUACAUCGGAACGUGCCCUGUAGUGGGGGAUAACUAGUCGAAAGAUUAGCUAAUACCGCAUACGACCUGAGGGUGAAAGUGGGGGACCGCAAGGCCUCAUGCUAUAGGAGCGGCCGAUGUCUGAUUAGCUAGUUGGUGAGGUAAAGGCUCACCAAGGCGACGAUCAGUAGCUGGUCUGAGAGGACGAUCAGCCACACUGGGACUGAGACACGGCCCAGACUCCUACGGGAGGCAGCAGUGGGGAAUUUUGGACAAUGGGGGCAACCCUGAUCCAGCAAUGCCGCGUGUGUGAAGAAGGCCUUCGGGUUGUAAAGCACUUUUGUCCGGAAAGAAAUCGCACUUACUAAUAUUAGGUGUGGAUGACGGUACCGGAAGAAUAAGGACCGGCUAACUACGUGCCAGCAGCCGCGGUAAUACGUAGGGUCCAAGCGUUAAUCGGAAUUACUGGGCGUAAAGCGUGCGCAGGCGGUUGUGCAAGACCGAUGUGAAAUCCCCGGGCUUAACCUGGGAAUUGCAUUGGUGACUGCACGGCUAGAGUGUGUCAGAGGGGGGUAGAAUUCCACGUGUAGCAGUGAAAUGCGUAGAGAUGUGGAGGAAUACCGAUGGCGAACGCAGCCCCCUGGGAUAACACUGACGCUCAUGCACGAAAGCGNNNGGGGAGCAAACAGGAUUAGAUACCNUGGUAGUCCACGCCUAAACGAUGUCAACUAGUUGUUGGGGAUUCAUUUCCUUAGUAACGUAGCUAACGCGUGAAGUUGACCGCCUGGGGAGUACGGUCGCAAGAUUAAAACUCAAAGGAAUUGACGGGGACCCGCACAAGCGGUGGAUGAUGUGGAUUAAUUCGAUGCAACGCGAAAAACCUUACCUACCCUUGACAUGCCACUAACGAAGCAGAGAUGCAUUAGGUGCUCGAAAGAGAAAGUGGACACAGGUGCUGCAUGGCUGUCGUCAGCUCGUGUCGUGAGAUGUUGGGUUAAGUCCCGCAACGAGCGCAACCCUUGUCUCUAGUUGCUACGAAAGGGCACUCUAGAGAGACUGCCGGUGACAAACCGGAGGAAGGUGGGGAUGACGUCAAGUCCUCAUGGCCCUUAUGGGUAGGGCUUCACACGUCAUACAAUGGUGCAUACAGAGGGUUGCCAAGCCGCGAGGUGGAGCUAAUCCCAGAAAAUGCAUCGUAGUCCGGAUCGUAGUCUGCAACUCGACUACGUGAAGCUGGAAUCGCUAGUAAUCGCGGAUCAGCAUGCCGCGGUGAAUACGUUCCCGGGUCUUGUACACACCGCCCGUCACACCAUGGGAGUGGGUUUUGCCAGAAGUAGUUAGCCUAACCGCAAGGGGGGCGAUUACCACGGCAGGGUUCAUGACUGGGGUGAAGUCGUA
RNAcentral lists this ribosomal RNA (1432 nucleotides) under uncultured Ralstonia sp. RNAcentral's name for it is "bacterial SSU rRNA". It matches the Rfam family "Bacterial small subunit ribosomal RNA". The record is from RNAcentral. Lineage: Bacteria; Pseudomonadati; Pseudomonadota; Betaproteobacteria; Burkholderiales; Burkholderiaceae.